RNAcentral lists this ribosomal RNA (467 nucleotides) under uncultured bacterium. Its description in RNAcentral is "partial 16S ribosomal RNA". It matches the Rfam family "Bacterial small subunit ribosomal RNA", at positions 28 to 506 of the family's 1533-position model. The record is from RNAcentral.
GACGAACGCUGGCGGCGUGCUUAACACAUGCAAGUCGAACGGAAAGGCCCUGCUUUUGUGGGGUGCUCGAGUGGCGAACGGGUGAGUAACACGUGAGUAACCUGCCCUUGACUUUGGGAUAACUUCAGGAAACUGGGGCUAAUACCGGAUAGGAGCUCCUGCUGCAUGGUGGUGGUUGGAAAGUUUCGGCGGUUGGGGCUGGACUCGCGGCUUAUCAGCUUGUUGGUGGGGUAGUGGCUUACCAAGGCUUGGACGGGUAGCCGGCCUGAGAGGGUGACCGGCCACAGUGGGACAGAGAUAGGGCCCGGACGCCAACGGGAGGCAGGAGUGGGGAAUAGUGGACAAUGGGCGGAAGCCUGAUGCAGCAACGCCGCGUGCGGGAUGACGGCCUUCGGGUUGUAAACCGCUUGCGCCUGUGACGAAGCGUGAGUGACGGUAAUGGGUAAAGAAGCACCGGCUAACUACGU